Molecule: non-coding RNA, 93 nt
Organism: Mycena filopes
Lineage: Eukaryota; Fungi; Basidiomycota; Agaricomycetes; Agaricales; Mycenaceae
Source: the annotation of a GenBank genome assembly
GACCUGGUGGCGAUUGGAUCGCGCCCGCCCGGAAUGAAAAAGUCACCCGUCAGGUGCUGCGGGAGUUACCUGGUUCGAAUCCAGGCCAGGUCA